This 465-nucleotide ribosomal RNA is filed under the name Vreelandella stevensii. Its description in RNAcentral is "partial 16S ribosomal RNA". It matches the Rfam family "Bacterial small subunit ribosomal RNA", at positions 338 to 795 of the family's 1533-position model. The record is from RNAcentral. Lineage: Bacteria; Pseudomonadati; Pseudomonadota; Gammaproteobacteria; Oceanospirillales; Halomonadaceae.
CCUACGGGGGGCUGCAGUGGGGAAUAUUGGACAAUGGGGGGAACCCUGAUCCAGCCAUGCCGCGUGUGUGAAGAAGGCCCUCGGGUUGUAAAGCACUUUCAGUGAGGAAGAACGCCUGGUGGUUAAUACCCAUCAGGAAAGACAUCACUCACAGAAGAAGCACCGGCUAACUCCGUUCCAGCAGCCGCGGUAAUACGGAGGGUGCGAGCGUUAAUCGGAAUUACUGGGCGUAAAGCGCGCGUAGGUGGCUUGAUAAGCCGGUUGUGAAAGCCCCGGGCUCAACCUGGGAACGGCAUCCGGAACUGUCAAGCUAGAGUGCAGGAGAGGAAGGUAGAAUUCCCGGUGUAGCGGUGAAAUGCGUAGAGAUCGGGAGGAAUACCAGUGGCGAAGGCGGCCUUCUGGACUGACACUGACACUGAGGUGCGAAAGCGUGGGUAGCAAACAGGAUUAGAUACCCUAGUAGUC